UGGCUAUUAUAACAAUAAAUUUCUCAUUGUGAAUGAUUGUUUGCAGAAAUACAGAUUUCUAGCCAAAUGGAUGUUUUUCUUUGAUGAGAUGAGUUCAUAUUUGUGCCUAAAAAGAGUACUAUCAAGUCUUUGGCUGAUUUGUUAUCAGAUUAUUACACAGUUCAUCAAUGAACAAAUGUCAAUGUCUAACAAACUCUAUUUAGAAGAAGUCCACGACAAAUGUUUCUGAAUCUGAUAAUUGACAAUUGUGAUUAUAAGGUCGAUCAAUUCUGCUCAAUGCCUUUAAGCGAAAUCUUAAAUUAUUGGUAUAGUAGUACAAUUUUGGUGGUUCUAAAUUUAUAUUUAUUUAAAGUUUCUUUGAUGGUGGAUACUGAAAUGUUUAAUAGAGACUUGACCACAAGUAGGUUUGGAACAUGUAUUCUCGAGAUUAACCUUCUCUGGUGGUUGAAUCUUGAAUAAUUGAGAUGCUUAAUGGGUUGCAAAAGUUAGGUGCCAUGGAGGGAGUAAGUUUCUUAUGCAUCUGUUCAAGUCAGCUUGCGUGCAUCUCAACUAUUAUAUCAUGUGCUCAUUAUUUUUCACCAACAUAGGUAUCGGGUAACUCUGACCACAUAACAAAGCUUAGACAAGUAUAUUCUUGCAUUUCUGGUUCUUUUGAGGUCCAAGUGGCAGCUAUGCAUGCUAUAGUUCUUUAACUGCUCUACACUGCUUUUUGUCCCUGUUAUGCAAUUUUUUUCUUAGCUUUGUAAUUUGAUUCUCUAUUCUGCUUUUUGUUGUGAUUAUAGUGAAAUUUAUGUGUUCUGCUUUGAGCCUUGGUGAAACUAAAUUGAAUAGCCUUUAAGCUUCAGAAAGAUAAGUAAGAAAAUUUUUUCUCUCUCUAUGGAGUAAUCUGUUACAACUCACACUCAAUUGUAUAAAGUCAAUUUGUCCAUCAAAGGUAGAACAAAUCAAAGGUUGGUGAUUGGAUGGAAAGGCAAUUAAUUAUACAUUUGUACUGAACAUUUCUAAAAAUGGACGUUUGCUACUAAACAUGGUGAUAGUCGUUAUGAGCCAAUUUUCUGAUAAUCUUGUAUGCUCCAGAGAGUUAUAACAGUCUGUUUUAAUCCUUCUUUCUUGUAAGCUUGUGUUGUGUAUUAAGCUUUAUUUUUUCUCAUGACUUGACCAGAAAAUUGGGUUUGUUGUGUAGUACACUUGUUAUUGAGUGUCUUGGCAUGUUGCCAAAGUAGUUUGUUUUCAAAGCCAUAAGAGCUAUAAUAAUUUGAGGAGUCGUGAAGGUGAAUAAAUUGAGUUGUACGGAAUUUUAUGUUAGUUCUUUAUAUCUGAAUCUUUUAUAACUGAUGUUCAUCUUAUUUUGUAACAUAUCGGUAUAACAUAUCUAGGAAGGUAGGGUGCAUGCAAACCUUAUUUCUACCUUUGUUGGGUAGAGAUAUUGUUCUUGAUUAGACCAUCGACUCAAAAGAAUAUAACCCAGACAAGAUUGAAAGGUAAAAGAUGAUAACAAGACAUCAAGAUGAAUUUUUUAAAAUGAACUAGAAAAGGGAAAUAUGACAAACAUAUUGAAAUGGAGGGUGUAGUUAAUAACCAAUCACAUUGGGAUCACUGGCCCGCCUUGAUUAAAGUAUGUCCAUUCAAAACAAAAGUAAUGAAUAGCCUUAUUUCUAUGAGUAUUUCUACUAUUUUCACAUCUUCCUUGUGCUUCUUUGAUAGGAAUAGUCUCUACUUUUUCUUGAGAUAAAAGUCUCUUAAUUUGAUCUUGUCCUCAAUCUCUAGUAUUCUUGUUCCUCCAAUUUGUUUAUUUCUUUCCCAUCUUCCUCUUUGUUUUGUGAUAUAUAGUACCUGGAUGUGAAAAAUACUAAAAGUAGUAGGUUUUGCUUUGGUUAUGCGGGGGAAGUAGUCUGGACAACCACAAGCUACUAUUUUUCGUAGAACAACAGGGGCUUGUCAAGAAAAUAAUCUUGCCAAUGAGCUUUUUCUCAGCUAUAAACAGUAACAACAUUCAAUUCCUUUUUCCUUUUUCUAAUGGAUCUUUCUCCUGACUUGUGAAUAAGAGAUUUUAAAGUUUCUUCCUUGUAUAAAUAUUGAUCAUUACAGUGAUGCAUCACUUGUCAAUAUCCAUUUUUUUGUGUGUUCUAUAAUCAUAAGUAGAUGUUAUACAUAAUAAAUACAGCGACAUAGUUGGUGUAGAAGAUGUCAUAUAGAGUUCGAAGUGACAACAUAUUCUCAACUUGUAGGGAAUUUCUAGUAGAGUCAAUAAGGGGGCUUCAACAUCCUCAACUAUAUCCAUUUUGCACCAGCAAAAGACUGUAAAUAUAAAAUCGCAGACUAGGGUGAAGGAUGAGUAUUGUUUGCGACUUAGUACUAUGCUUAGGAUUUAAGCGUGAUUGUAUGAACUUGCUUAAAUUUCUUUAUUGAAGAUAGCUUGAAAUUAAGUGACAUAUUUUUAAUGGUAAGAGAGGGUCUAUCGGAAACAAUCUCUCUACCUUCAUAGGGUAGGGGUUAGGUUGUGUACACACCACCCUCCCCGGACAUCAAGUCUAUGGGUGUGUUGUUAUAUUCCAAGUGGUAAGAGGCGUAAUGUAGGCGCAAGAAAAUUGAAGUUUGUCUCUGAUGGUGAUAGUCAACUUUUCAAGGUCUUCCAUUUUGGAAUUCUUCUUUGCCAACUCAAUUUAAAUCAAUCAAUUUCUAAGCAACAAGUUGAUGCAAAUUAGAGGUUAUGGUGUCUCUGAUGGUGAUGGUCAAGGUCUUCUCUGCUAACUUUACUUUAAUUAAAUCAAUCCAAUUGCAAGUAAUAUUUUGGUGCAAUUUUAAGACAAAGUAGAUACUGAGAUUGUAUUAGAUAAGGUUAAUGUAAUUAUAUAUGAAACAAGUAGUCAUUCAACAACAAUUCCCUGGCAUUAAGUUCAUCUGUUGAUGCUGAUGUUAAGCUCUCUCAAUUGUUGUUCAGCCCAACACUACUCUCAGGAUCUGAUUGUUGUUCUGUAAAUAAACUUCUUGUUGGUGUCCAUUAUGUUACAGUUUUGGCAUGAAAAUAUAAAACAUUAUGACUGAAAAUAAAUCUAUUCACUUGAAAUGGAAACUAACUAUAUGAAAGAUUGUACUAUGACUUACAUUUUUCUACAUAUAUGUACAUUUCUGCAUAUAUUGGUACGUAAUUCUCUCUAGACAGAAAUAAUUAGAAUUUUUUCUCACUUUUUUCAUUAUCUUAUAAAAUGCAUGUGAGUUGAUUCUACUUGAGAUAGAGGGUUCAAAAGAGAUGUUUGGCUUUCUCAGUUCAGGCCACAUUACAGCCGGUUCAGUCAACUCAUGCUGCAUCACAGUCAAUUUCCUCAAAUCAGGCUGCAUCACAAUCAACUUCAUUAAAUUAGGCCGAAUCAUAACAAGAACUAUUCAAGAAGCGUGUUGUUAGACAUGAGUCUACGGAAUAUUGGACCAUAGAAGCAAUAGCUAUGCUAUUGAUGAUUUUGCAGGCGGUGAAGAUAUAGACUCCAUUUGGCAUGUCGUGGCUCAGUGUACUGUUGCACUACCUAAGCAUAAACCAUGAUAUGUAAUGCUGUUGUACUACAGGGGUGGGUUACCCACUAGACAUUGUGUAGUGCUUUAGGUGCUGACAUGUAUGAUUGUGCUAUCCUACUAGUACCGCUUUUUUUUCACCGCUCUAAUGCCUGAGGUAAUUUUCUCAUCCCACUACCUCUCUGUAUGUUCAUCACUUAAUUGGUUUGGAGAUCACACAGUGGCAUUCUUUUGAAAUCGAUCUAAUACGAAUUCUCAGAUUGCGUGAAAAGAAAUCUAUAACUGCUAAUAUACUAGCCCAACAUCAAUGUUGUGUAUUCUUGAUCCAUGUAGAAAUCUUGUCUGAUGUGUAAACACUGAGAGGGAGAGAUGAUAAGUAAGUCGUGCGUCUAGUAAUCUAAUUGUUGUUUAAAUAAUACUGUGCUGCUCAAAAUUUCCUUUUAGUGGAAACUCCAUUUGAGUUUAAUCUGUGCACAUAUGCUACUCUGACUUCCCUCCUCCUUCCAUGUGAUAAAAGUAUUAUUGACUACGUUCUUUAUAAGAGGAAUAUGAAUGUGUAUGUUAGUAUAGACCUAUUUAUUUAUUUUUGGCAUUUUGUAUUGAAACUCAUAGUAGAGAAUUUGGUACUGUUGUUCACAUGCUUAGUGUCAGCUUGCAUUAUUUCAUAAUCGAGGUCACAUUCUUGUAAUUGUUAAUAUUUGCUUCCAGUUUACAUCUUGCAAAGUUGCAGAUCUGCAUUUUAUAACUCCUACAGUAUACAGGCGAUGCUAGUGAUACUAGUCGUAGUGACAUCGUUGAAGUUCUAUGAAUAGUUGCAAACAUUUUCUUGAGUAUGGAUGAUAGUAAAUCUUUUCAUCAAUAAAAGCAAGACUAGUGAAUGAUAGUUUUUAUAGUGAUUUGAAGUUUCUAGUAAUCAUAAAGGUUGAAGUGAAUGAUAUUUUUCAGUUUAGUUUGUAAAACUAAUAUUACACUUUGUAAUAUAUUUUUUGUGUUGAAAUGUUAUUUCUUAAUGCU
Long non-coding RNA from Solanum pennellii, 4521 nucleotides. RefSeq lists it as uncharacterized. Lineage: Eukaryota; Viridiplantae; Streptophyta; Magnoliopsida; Solanales; Solanaceae. The transcript has 4 exons. The record is from RefSeq and is a predicted model, not a curated record.